RNAcentral lists this small nuclear RNA (149 nucleotides) under Puma concolor (puma). RNAcentral describes it as "U2 spliceosomal RNA". It matches the Rfam family "U2 spliceosomal RNA". From Rfam's summary of the family: U2 is a small nuclear RNA (snRNA) component of the spliceosome (involved in pre-mRNA splicing). Complementary binding between U2 snRNA (in an area lying towards the 5' end but 3' to hairpin I) and the branchpoint sequence (BPS) of the intron results the bulging out of an unpaired adenosine, on the BPS, which initiates a nucleophilic attack at the intronic 5' splice site, thus starting the first of two transesterification reactions that mediate splicing. Lineage: Eukaryota; Metazoa; Chordata; Mammalia; Carnivora; Felidae. The record is from Rfam by way of RNAcentral. RNAcentral also lists the same sequence under 3 other names.
AUUGCUUCUCGGCCUUUUGGCUAAGAUCAAGUGUACUAUCCUUAAAGCAUUUACAUUCUGUGGUUCAGUCUAGUCUUUGUUAGUGCAUUAAAUGCCUGAAAAACAACUUUGCCAUAUCUGCGAUUUCGAUGGCCAGCACUUGUCCAUAA